This is a long non-coding RNA of Protobothrops mucrosquamatus (brown spotted pit viper), 398 nucleotides long. RefSeq lists it as uncharacterized. The transcript is spliced from 4 exons. The record is from RefSeq and is a predicted model, not a curated record. Lineage: Eukaryota; Metazoa; Chordata; Lepidosauria; Squamata; Viperidae.
GACUGGUGCGUUUGUCUCCUCGCUUCUCUCGAGAGGAAAAAUAACAUGGCGGCGACCUUGCGGGCUGCGAAGCGGUUUUUGCAGAAUCCAAGCAAGGUGACUCCAACAUUGUCUCGGUCAAUAUUCCAAAUAGGAAGGGAAGAUUUAAAAAAUCCUAACUGGAUAAAAGUUGGCCUAAGUCUUUCUUCAACAGUCCUACUAUGGGUUAUGCUUAUCAGGCAUCAUAAUUAUGAAAUGGCAGAAUAUGAAAGGAGAAAAAAAGAUUCUUAAUGCCAAUCUGAUUGUUAUGAUUGAAGAUAUAGCUGAGGCAUAUUCUGCAGUGAAAUUAUCAAAGCUGGAUUUAUUCAUAAUUAAUAUUAAUCUUCCUGAAAUAAAACACUGACUAGUAUGGAAAGAAA